AUGUCCCAAAUGGUCCGUCAUCUCAUCACUCUGGCCAGAGGAGAGAAUACAGGUGUUAACAGAACAAAGGAACACCUGGAAAUUGAAAACAAGCUUAAGGAGACAGCAUUGCAUCAAGCAAUCUGCAUUGGAAAUAAUGAUACGGUCAAGCUGCUAAUACAGGAGGACUCAGAGUUGGCCAGUUUCCCGAAAGACGGCACUUCACCUCUGUACCUGGCCAUCUUGCUGGAAGAGGACAUCAUUGCUGAGACACUUUAUAAUGCAAGUCACAAGAAGAUUUCCUAUUCCGGGCAUCAUAGUAUAUAUGAACGUCUUUUUGCAUGA
This 324-nucleotide ribosomal RNA is filed under the name Triticum aestivum (bread wheat). RNAcentral's name for it is "partial small subunit ribosomal RNA". The record is from RNAcentral. Lineage: Eukaryota; Viridiplantae; Streptophyta; Magnoliopsida; Poales; Poaceae.